Molecule: ribosomal RNA, 494 nt
Filed under: uncultured bacterium
Lineage: Bacteria
Description: partial 16S ribosomal RNA
Rfam family: Bacterial small subunit ribosomal RNA
Source: RNAcentral
GACGAACGCUGGCGGCGUGCCUAAUACAUGCAAGUAGAACGCUGAAGGAGGAGCUUGCUUCUCUGGAUGAGUUGCGAACGGGUGAGUAACGCGUAGUAACCUGCCUGGUAGCGGGGGAUAACUAUUGGAAACGAUAGCUAAUACCGCAUAAGAGUAGAUGUUGCAUGACAUUUGCUUAAAAGGUGCAAUUGCAUCACUACCAGAUGGACCUGCGUUGUAUUAGCUAGUUGGUGGGGUAACGGCUUACCAAGGCGACGAUACAUAGCCGACCUGAGAGGGUGAUCGGCCACACUGGGACUGAGACACGGCCCAGACUCCUACGGGAGGCAGCAGUAGGGAAUCUUCGGCAAUGGACGGAAGUCUGACCGAGCAACGCCGCGUGAGUGAAGAAGGUUUUCGGAUCGUAAAGCUCUGUUGUAAGAGAAGAACGAGUGUGAGAGUGGAAAGUUCACACUGUGACGGUAUCUUACCAGAAAGGGACGGCUAACUACGUG